GAUGAACGCUGGCGGCGUGCUUAACACAUGCAAGUCGAACGAUGAAGCCCAGCUUGCUGGGUGGAUUAGUGGCGAACGGGUGAGUAACACGUGAGUAACCUGCCCUUAACUCUGGGAUAAGCCUGGGAAACUGGGUCUAAUACCGGAUAGGAGCGUCCACCGCAUGGUGGGUGUUGGAAAGAUUUAUCGGUUUUGGAUGGACUCGCGGCCUAUCAGCUUGUUGGUGAGGUAAUGGCUCACCAAGGCGACGACGGGUAGCCGGCCUGAGAGGGUGACCGGCCACACUGGGACUGAGACACGGCCCAGACUCCUACGGGAGGCAGCAGUGGGGAAUAUUGCACAAGGGGCGCAAGCCGGAUGCAGCGACGCCGCGUGAGGGAUGACGGCCUUCGGGUUGUAAACCUCUUUCAGUAGGGAAGAAGCGAAAGUGACGGUACCUGCAGAAGAAGCACCGGCUAACUACGU
Molecule: ribosomal RNA, 465 nt
Filed under: uncultured bacterium
Lineage: Bacteria
Description: partial 16S ribosomal RNA
Rfam family: Bacterial small subunit ribosomal RNA
Source: RNAcentral